This 289-nucleotide unclassified non-coding RNA is filed under the name uncultured Boletus. Its description in RNAcentral is "sequence contains ITS2". Lineage: Eukaryota; Fungi; Basidiomycota; Agaricomycetes; Boletales; Boletaceae. The record is from RNAcentral.
AAUUCUCAACCAUGUCUUGAUUGAUUUCGAGGCAUGGCUUGGAGUUGGGGGUUGCUGGCGGCGAAACGCUGUCAGCUCUCCUGAAAUGCAUUAGCAAAGGGCGGCGAGUCUUUUUGGACGUGCACGGCCUUCGACGUGAUAAUGAUCGUCGUGGCUGGAGCGUUCGGGGGGACAUGCAUGAAUCGUCCGUUGCUUCCAAUCCUUAUCCCUAGCCUUAAGUCACUCAGCUACUAGUUCGGUCGUGAGCCCGGGCGAACGUUGGGCGGCCAAGGCUUGGCUGUUUUUCGAU